RNAcentral lists this long non-coding RNA (660 nucleotides) under Homo sapiens (human). Its description in RNAcentral is "non-protein coding lnc-PTPN2-9:1". The record is from RNAcentral. Lineage: Eukaryota; Metazoa; Chordata; Mammalia; Primates; Hominidae.
CCCACAGCAAGGGCAGGGCUCCUUGCCAGCUGACCCACCCAGGAGGCCUUACCACUGCUUGUGUCGUUUGGAUGCAGGGCAGUGCUGGCUGACAGCAGUGGAGGCUCUGCUGAUUCUCACUGCCACCUUCUGAAACCCCUGACCUUGGCAGCCCUCAGUGCCAGAGGAAGGGAGGGGAGGUACCCAGGUGGGAGCCAUGUGUUUUGGAGCAGGAUUGCUGAUCAUGACAAAAACAGAGUUUGUCAAUUCCAGCUGAACUUUACACAAAUGGGUUCACCUACCCGCAGCCAUUGUAACAGCAGCAAACACGCACCAAACAUCCUAGGGGCUAAUGCUCUGCUUCCAUGAUCUUGCUCAUCUCUGAGCCCAACAUCUCUGCAGGUAACACCAUUCUUCUCCACCCUGGUUUCACUGAUGAGGAAACUGAGGCCUAUGAGGAGAUCAGAAGUGCCCUGUGGCCACUCCAGGCUUCAACAUGGGACCGUGGCGCCAAAGCUCAGCCCAGCCACGCACAGGGCUUCUCUGCUGUAGCGAAGCCUUUGGAUUCUCCAGUGAGAAGGUUCUGUAGGCUCCUAGAAAAAGCACGGGAGACCAUGGGCAGUCAUAGUUCACAUCUGUCAUCUGGGAAAAAUUAUAAUUCUGUUCUCUUACACUCUCAAA